UUUGGUUGUGUUUUUUCAAGAGACCAAUAAAUUUUUCUUUUGUGAAAAGCAAUUUGUGUUUUACAGGUGACUUCUAGAAUUUUGUGCAAUUUGAAAAUGACUCUUGAAACUACUUUGUGGAUUUUUUUUUUUUCCCUAAUUUAGAUUUCCAGUGUGGGAGGUUUCAAAUUUUGGUGUUGCACUAUUAAGUGUGGUCUCGCAAAUGCAGCCAUGAAGAAAUGUGCAUGUGUUCAGGUUCUGACUUUGGGAGAAUAGAUGAGAAGAUGGAUUAGAUCAUUGGUGGAAUCUUAUGCUUCUAGUUUUGGGUUGAAGAUUUUUGAACAAGCUCAAAAGAAACAUUAGGUUCAAGAAAAAAAAAAAUUAUUUUGGGACCGUGGGCUGGUUCUCUUCUCUGAAAUGAUUCUUUAUUUUACUCUUUUCUACGGCUAAACUAGUUAUGAUUAGCUUUGGCUGAGAUCUUAAGUGUGUAAAACACAGUACUAAAUUUCCCUAAUUUAGUCAAUGAGUCUUAUUUCUUGGUGUUAGACUUAUUUCUUGAAUCUAGAGUGCUGAGUGUAGUACUGAAUUUAAAUAGAAUAUUGAAUUUAAACUUGUUUGUGGACU
Molecule: long non-coding RNA, 603 nt
Organism: Malania oleifera
Lineage: Eukaryota; Viridiplantae; Streptophyta; Magnoliopsida; Santalales; Ximeniaceae
Exons: 2
Source: RefSeq, a predicted model, not a curated record